GCUGACAAGUUGCGGCCAGACUGGAAGGAAAACCUUCUCUACAUCGCCAAGACGUACAUUUGUGAAGGGCAUUACGGACCUGCCAUGGCAUGGAUUGACCGUGCCGCAGCCCUUCCUUGCGUGGACCCUGGUGACGACACCGUGCACAAGGAAGUGGAAAACCUGCAGCAACAGUACCAGCGUUACCGGCCGUGAAUGAGGCUCUCUCUCGCCGGACGACGUAACACCCCGUUUGAGAGCUGCGGCAUUCAACCACGGACGGGGUUCGCUGUUGGCUCCGCACGCCAGAAGAUGGAAGCAUCCAUCAAGAAGAGGCAUAGACUCUUAGCCAUUCUUCAUGUGACAUGCGUCCCGUAGUGGAUACGCAGCAAUUGUUUAACUCUUGGUGAUAUCUGUGGAAGAGCGUGACCUGGCAGUGUUACGAUAACUGGUGCGGGACACCUAGAGAGUUCUUACAUAAGACUUAUUAUUCGCUGUUUACUACUCUUAUCAAGCCCAGUGGGCAUGCUGAGGACGCCAUAGGCUGUUAAAGGCCCCUGCCGUGCGUGUAACAGUGGAGACGUUCGGCAUAGACUGGUGUAGACAUGUGCUCAGCACCCGCACAUGUCUACACAGGUUUUUGUUUCGAGGUUAACUUUUUAUUCACGCACGACCAAUGGCUUGGAACCUCCUAUGGUGCCGGGAAAGCCAACUAUAUAUACAUAUGUUAAUAUCUGUUGUUUAGCUAAGGUAUGGGAUCAUAAUUUCUGGUGUUACAGCGUGGUUAUUGUUUUUUACAAGUCUUCUCUCUUACACUGUUGCAUAUUGUGCAUUGCCAUGUUUUACUUCGCCUUGCCGAGCACAACCCGAAGUUCUAAAACUGCGCAAGUGAUAAAAAAUGACGAAUUUCCACAGUUGUCUGAGGACAGAGUUUGUUAAAGCAUGGGCGUUGCUGAUAAGUGUUGCACAACAAGAUAGCUUCAGCGCAACCUAGACGAGUGGUGUCAGAAGCAGCAACUCAAGGGCAGUGAUGCCAGUUGUUCAAGGCAGCCAGCAGUAUAUCUUAUGUUCUGGUCUUCUUUACAUAUACAUCUCUGUGAAACAGAAUCGGUCUUAUUAUACGCUGCAGGCCUGUGUUUAUGCUGAUUAUCAUUCCAUUCUUGUAAUGAAAAGAUAAGGGUGCAUCAUUGCACUGUGAGUCGCAGUGUAGUAGGCGAUACUUGUUCAAGAACUUGGCGACAACUUUCUAACUGCCCGUUAAUUAGGGUCUUUUCACUUUUUUUUUACCUUGUGUUUCAUGCAGCAUGCGUAAAAUAUUCCCUGGAGCAGUUACAACAACAGUUUUCUAUAGAUUCACAUAUUUCAUAGUGCUCUUGAAAGAAAGCUUUUACUGUUACCGAGAACUCCAGUGUCCAAAUUGAAUAGCUUGAAUGAAAGUUCACUUCCCAUUGCCGCUGUGCUUGCUAAAAGAAUCAUGCUUGAUUAGAAUCGUGGUUAUUUACUUCGUAAGCGCCAAUCACAAUUAUACCCUGUAGUCUAAAAAUGAUGCAAUUUCUGCAUAAUUGUGCAGAUUUCGAUUACUAUUUAAGUUGCCUGCCACCUAAAGUGGGCACGAAUCAGUCAUGCUUCUUUGUUGCAUUGUUUUUUCACUGUGGAUGGUAAAUUUCUCAGUGCUGUUGCUUUUAUCAUAUUUUUUAAGGUUACCUACUAAAUGUACAGUACAUCACUUCGAAGGGUAUAAUUACUGCUGCUGGCUAGUUAUUACCGAUUUACAAGCACAUGUUCUGCAACUCAAAUUGUGUCACGGUGUCAUGCUGGAGUGAUGUGGCUACAUCGCCUUUGCAAAACUUUCUAAUAACUGUGCCAAUUAUUUAUACUGGCACUUUCGUAAGUGCUAAUUUCUAAACACUUCUCCAGUGUGAUAAUACAACAAUAUCUAACAAAAUAAAUGUCCCAAUAUUCUCAGCACUGUCUGCCGCCAAAUACACACAUUUAGGACUCAAAUGUGCACAUUUGGGACUGCAUUUCUUUUAAAUGGAAUUACUAUCGGCCUAAGAUCUACAUAGUAAUAGUAAAGAGAAGUAGUAAAUUACUAAUCUAUUGCAAAAUGUCUAAAAAUAAUCAAUUAAACAUAAUCAACUAUGCAUAAAACAUUGUGUACAGUGCUGAGUGUGUAAACACCUCUGAUAUUGCUUUCCAGAAUGUGCAGCUUGGUUCUGAGUAAAGAAAUUGACCCAAAAUGGAUAGCCGAUUCGUGUUGUCAAUGUUUUUCUCCUCAGAAACAUAAAAUGCAUCAUUCAUGAGGUUGUGAACGUGUUAUUGAUAACAUAGGAUCAACUGCAUGAAAUGUUAAAGGGGCCCUGAAACACUUUUUCAAGUAACCAUGGAUAUGAUUCAAUAGUAAAACUUAUUGCCUCACAAAUUCAAUGCUGAAAACGUUUUAAGAAUUCGUCCAGUGCGAGCGGAGUUACAAAGAUUUGUCGCACGCUUCAAUUGCGUUCUUUCGUCUCUCAUUCCAGCGAAAGCGCUGGAAGCUAAGCAGGGAGGGAUGGCAGGGGCGAAGAAUUACGUCAGACUCGCCUCAUGACCUUGAGCACUUUUUCAUUUUUUUUUCUUUGAAUACACAGCUUUUCAGUGUGAGCAUGUGUGAGCUUUUUCAGUGCGAGCGGCUUCUCGCGUCGAUCUCUGUAACGACUGAGCGGGCCAUGUUCAAAUCAACCAAUGGCUGAUAGAUGGGCUAACUACGAGUGAUUUUCGGGCGUCUUCUGUGAUUUUUUGAGAGUAAGAAAAAGCAAUUUUUAGCUGACUGAUAAUUUAUUUUGAAUUCCAGGCCAGCGUGCUUCGCUAUAAUAUUUGGCUUGUGUGUUGUGGGGAGCGUCUACUACCGGAUCCGCAGCGUUUUAUGACCAUACUCAAGAAGUGUUGUAGGACCCCUUUAACAUUUACCAAGCAUUCAUUCUAAAAGGAAAAGGCAUGCUAACACGGUCACAAGGACGUUUGUGUUGUCCUCACUUUCUUCUUGUGUAUGUGUUGGCACGCUCAUGUCUUUUUAGAAUGAAUAUGUACCAACUAUUUGAGCUCUGUUAGUCUAAAUCCCUGAGUAUGUCUUUUCGAUAAUGCAUCACAAUGUGUGCUUCUUUAGUUUGGAUGUCCUAAUGGCCAGCCGGAACUCGGGGUUAGUGAUCUAGCUUGUUAGCGUUUGCUCACUGCGUUGAAACAGAUCACACAUUGGUAAUUAUGUGAAGCUGGUUUUAUUCCAGCCUAAUAACACUGGAGCUGCAAAAGAGCCAACAUCAAACACUGGCUGUUUAUAACCUAUCAAACGAACAAACCAACUGUAGUAUAAGUUACCUGCCCUUUUUUUUCCUCCUCAUUUUCUAUUUGUGACCUAAAACUUCUUUUACAUUCCCAGUGAUGCGAAGUUGAAACGCACGUUCAAAAUUGUUAUGUUUUAUUUUUUUUUCGUUUCUCCACAAGUGGGGCUAAUGUGUUCUCGCAUGUACAUUCGAAGUGCGCAUUGUGGCAGUCGUAGCCACAACAAAUGCAAAGCCCUUCAAUCAAGUCCGUGAACAUCUACGUAUUUUUGCGACACACAUGUUCUGCAGGUUAAGUAGAGCUGUAGCAGCCAGAUUAUUGACCGACUGUACAUUGCUGAAUUGCCCCAAGAUGCAAUGCAGCUACAUUCAAGAUGGUAUACUUUAUAAAUAAACUUGGUCCGAGAGUCGCUGCCUCACACCUGUGAAAUUUCAA
RNAcentral lists this long non-coding RNA (3729 nucleotides) under Rhipicephalus microplus (southern cattle tick). Its description in RNAcentral is "uncharacterized LOC119166835". The record is from RNAcentral. Lineage: Eukaryota; Metazoa; Arthropoda; Arachnida; Ixodida; Ixodidae.